AACUUUCCUGAGUAUAAUUUGUUUAACCCGCCGAAUUUAAGCAUAUUAAUAAGCGGAGGAAUAUAAAACAACUGUGAUACCUUUAGUACUGGCGAAGGAACCAGGUAUAGUGCUCUUACUAACCCAUUUAUUUGGGAUUGUGUCUUUGGAUUUACGUUCAUCUGUAAGGUUUUUGUGCAUUGGAUUAUGCCUCUCUUUCCCGUGAUAGUCGGGUUUCUUCCUUACUUUUGUUCCUUUUCCUUUGUUGAGUAGGUCAAGUUCAAAUUCUUGAUUGAAUAGGAGGUAAUUUCCUUCUAACACUAAAUACUUUCUAAGUCCGAUAGCGUAAAAGUACCGUGAGGGAAAGGUGAAAAGUCGGCUACAAGCCAGUUAAAAUACUUGAAACUAUAACAGUAGAAGGUAAAGCAUUACACGUUUCGGUCUAUGCCGUUAGAGUUUCUUAUUCAUCUUGGAUAUUUUACUUUUUGUGUAAUGUUUACGCCCGUCUUGAAACACGGACUAAGGAGUCAUUCUUCCAUGCAAGUGGAACAUUGUUUACAAUGUCAGCUUUUUGAGCAUGUUUGAAUGGACCCGAAAGGUGGUGAACUAUUCUUGAGAGAGUUGACUUCAGAGGAAACUCUGAUUGAGGACUUAUGUGAUACUGACGUGCAAAUCGUUCAUUUUACUCGUGAAUAGUGGCGAAAGACUAAUCGAACCACCUAGUAGCUGGUUCCCCCCGAAGUUUCUCCUAGGAUAGCGGACGAGUUUGUAAUCACAUACAGUAGAGCAAUGUUUUGAGGUAACGGGGAAUUCGUUCCUUGACCUGAUCACAAACUACAAACGUAUGUUCUGAUCAAUUUUUAACUUUUUGAUCUCCUUGAUACUCUCGUCUCGUGGACCGUUUUUGGUAANCAGAUACGGUGCUUUGGAAUGCUCCAAGCACGAUGAUAAGGCAUAUUGUUCUUGGUUUACUGCUAUAAAAAGGCAUCAAUACAUUUAGACAGUCUGACGGUGGCCAUGGAAGUUGGAAUCCGCUAAGAAGUGUGUAACAACUUACAGACCGAAUGUAUUGGUCCUUAAAAUGGACUGUGCUCAAACCAUGCAGCCGAAACAUCGUAGGUCAUCUUUGUAUGAUUUUGUAGGGGGGCGUGUGGGCUGUUUUGAAGAUGAGUCGUGAGUCUCAUUGGAACUCCUCACAGUGCUGAUCUUAGUAGGAGUAGCAGUGUUUAAGUUGAUCCUUAAAGACGGAUGUAGAAAAGGUUUUCAUAGACACAUUGAAUGGCUAUGAGUGAGACGAUCCUAACACAUUAAUUUUUGUGGAAAGGGUAAUAGGUUAAUAUUCCUAUUUUGGAUUGACCCAUAGCGGCGACGCGUUGUUAUCUGCCUUUUCUAAUGAUGCCCAUCUAUUUGCGUUUUCUAUGCAAUUUAAACAGUUUACCACUAUGGAAGAGGUUUGCCCUACGAUAUAGUAUACACUGAAUAGAUGCCCUUCGGGGUAAGAUGCGGUGUCUUUGGAGCUUUAAACGUCAGAUUUCAUUUGGUCUUUCCAUUCGUACCAACAACCGCAUCAGGUCUCUGAGGUUUAUAACCUUUCGUUUUUGGAAUAAAAUAGAUGAGGGAAGUCGGCAAAUUAGAUCUGUAACCUUGGAAAAAGGAUUGGCUCUGCGGGCUCUGGUGCGGAUCAUCUUUGCUACUCUUUAGGACGAUUCGUCGGCUUAUUUGGUGGUAUUGAUGCUAUGUGCCGGCUAAGCCAUAGUAGAACUGAGGCAACGAGGGGAAUCCGACAGUUUAACUAAAACCAAGCAUUCUGAUUGUUUCUUACAGAUGUACGGAAUGUGAAUUCUGCCCGGUGCUUUGAAUGUCAAUGAGAGGAGACUCUUUUAAGCGCGGGUUAACGGCAGGCGUAACUAUGACGCUUUCAACGUAGCAAAAUGCCUCGUCAUCUAAUUAGUGACUCGCAUGAACGGAUUAAUGAGAUUCCUACUGUCCCCAUUUAUUUUCCAGCGAAACUACAGGUCGGGGAACGGGCUGACCUUUGACAGAACGGCAAGAAGACCCUGUUGAGGUUGACUCUAGCUAGUUUUUGUACAGUAGCUCAAGCGGUGUAGAGUAUGUGGGAGAGAAAUCGCCGAUGAAACACCACAACGUUUGAAGCCGCUGAACUUACUCUAUUACAUAAUGCAUUGCAUUUAGACAAAUUUUGUUUAUUAGAGGACAUUCACUGGCGGGGAGUUUGGCUGGGGCGGUACAUCUGUUAAAAUCCACCACAGGUGUCCAAAGGCUAUCUCAAUAAGAACAGAAAUCUUAUGUAGACUAAAAGGAGAAAAGAUAGCUUUACUCACUCCUCUAUAAUCGGAGUGGGUUGUGAAAGCAUGGCCUAUCGAUCCCUUCAUGGCUCAGAAAUUGAACUGAGGGGUGUCUGAAAACUUACCACAGGGAUAACUGAUUUGUGGCAGCCAAGCGUUCAUAGCGACGUUGCUUUUUGAUCCUUCGAUGUCGGCUCUUCCUAUCAUGAAGUUGUAAAAGGCUUCAAGUGUUANAUUGUUCACCUAUAAAAAGGGAACGUGAGCUGGGGUUUANACAA
Molecule: ribosomal RNA, 2563 nt
Filed under: Heliospora cf. longissima
Lineage: Eukaryota; Apicomplexa; Conoidasida; Eugregarinorida; Uradiophoridae
Description: eukaryotic LSU rRNA
Rfam family: Eukaryotic large subunit ribosomal RNA
Source: RNAcentral